UGGGGAAUAUUGCACAAUGGGGGAAACCCUGAUGCAGUGACGCCGCGUGAAGGAAGAAGUAUCUCGGUAUGUAAACUUCUAUCAGCAGGGAAGAUAAUGACGGUACCUGACUAAGAAGCCCCGGCUAACUACGUGCC
This 137-nucleotide ribosomal RNA is filed under the name uncultured bacterium. RNAcentral describes it as "partial 16S ribosomal RNA". It matches the Rfam family "Bacterial small subunit ribosomal RNA", at positions 355 to 509 of the family's 1533-position model. The record is from RNAcentral.